RNAcentral lists this ribosomal RNA (1956 nucleotides) under human gut metagenome. RNAcentral describes it as "bacterial LSU rRNA". It matches the Rfam family "Bacterial large subunit ribosomal RNA", at positions 3 to 1984 of the family's 2925-position model. The record is from RNAcentral.
UUAAGUUAAUAAGGGCGCACGGUGGAUGCCUUGGCACUAGAAGCCGAUGAAGGACGUGACUAACGACGAAAUGCUUUGGGGAGUUGUAAGUAAACAUUGAUCCAGAGAUGUCCGAAUGGGGGAACCCGGCAUGUAAUGCAUGUCACUCAUUACUGUUAAGGUAAUGAAGAGGAAGACGCAGUGAACUGAAACAUCUAAGUAGCUGCAGGAAGAGAAAGCAAACGCGAUUGCCUUAGUAGCGGCGAGCGAAAUGGCAAGAGGGCAAACCGAUGUGUUUACACAUCGGGGUUGUAGGACUGCGACGUGGGACGACAAGAUUAUAGAAGAAUUACCUGGGAAGGUAAGCCAAAGAGAGUAACAGCCUCGUAUUCGAAAUAGUCUUUAACCCUAGCAGUAUCCUGAGUACGGCGAGACACGAGAAAUCUCGUCGGAAUCUGGGAGGACCAUCUCCUAACCCUAAAUACUCUCUAGUGACCGAUAGUGAACCAGUACCGUGAGGGAAAGGUGAAAAGCACCCCGGGAGGGGAGUGAAAUAGAACCUGAAACCGUGUGCCUACAACAAGUUCGAGCCCGUUAAUGGGUGAGAGCGUGCCUUUUGUAGAAUGAACCGGCGAGUUACGAUAUGAUGCGAGGUUAAGUUGAAGAGACGGAGCCGUAGGGAAACCGAGUCUUAAUAGGGCGCAUUAGUAUCAUGUCGUAGACCCGAAACCAUGUGACCUACCCAUGAGCAGGGUGAAGGUGAGGUAAAACUCACUGGAGGCCCGAACCAGGGCACGUUGAAAAGUGCUUGGAUGACUUGUGGGUAGCGGAGAAAUUCCAAACGAACUUGGAGAUAGCUGGUUCUCUCCGAAAUAGCUUUAGGGCUAGCGUCGAUGUUAAGUCUCUUGGAGGUAGAGCACUGUUUGAUUGAGGGGUCCAUCCCGGAUUACCAAUCUCAGAUAAACUCCGAAUGCCAAUGAGAUAUAAUCGGCAGUCAGACUGCGAGUGCUAAGAUCCGUAGUCGAAAGGGAAACAGCCCAGACCACCAGCUAAGGUCCCAAAAUAUAUGUUAAGUGGAAAAGGAUGUGGGGUUGCACAGACAACUAGGAUGUUAGCUUAGAAGCAGCUAUUCAUUCAAAGAGUGCGUAAUAGCUCACUAGUCGAGUGACCCUGCGCCGAAAAUGUACCGGGGCUAAAACAUAUUACCGAAGCUGUGGAUACCUUUUAGGUAUGGUAGGAGAGCGUUCUAUGUGUGAAGAAGGUGUACCGUGAGGAGCGCUGGAACGCAUAGAAGUGAGAAUGCCGGUAUGAGUAGCGAAAGACAGGUGAGAAUCCUGUCCACCGUAUGACUAAGGUUUCCAGGGGAAGGCUCGUCCUCCCUGGGUUAGUCGGGACCUAAGGAGAGACCGAAAGGUGUAUCCGAUGGACAACAGGUUGAUAUUCCUGUACUAGAGUAUAUAGUGAUGGAGGGACGCAGUAGGCUAACUAAAGCGUGCGAUUGGAAGUGCACGUCUAAGCAGUGAGGUGUGAUAUGAGUCAAAUGCUUAUAUCUCUAACAUUGAGCUGUGAUGGGGAGCGAAGUUAAGUAGCGAAGUUAGUGAUGUCACACUGCCAAGAAAAGCUUCUAGCGUUAAUUAUACUCUACCCGUACCGCAAACCGACACAGGUAGUCGAGGCGAGUAGCCUCAGGUGAGCGAGAGAACUCUCGUUAAGGAACUCGGCAAAAUGGCCCCGUAACUUCGGGAGAAGGGGCGCUGGCUUUAAGUCAGCCGCAGUGAAUAGGCCCAAGCAACUGUUUAUCAAAAACACAGCUCUCUGCUAAAUCGUAAGAUGAUGUAUAGGGGGUGACGCCUGCCCGGUGCUGGAAGGUUAAGAGGAGCGCUUAGCAUUAGCGAAGGUGUGAAUUGAAGCCCCAGUAAACGGCGGCCGUAACUAUAACGGUCCUAAGGUAGCGAAAUUCCUUGUCGGGUAAGUUCC